UACGUAGGGUGCGAGCGUUGUCCGGAUUUAUUGGGCGUAAAGAGCUCGUAGGCCGUUUGGCACGUCAGAUGUGAAAACUCCAGGCUCAACUUGGAGAGGCCAUCUGAUACUGCUGUGACUAGAGUCCGGUAGGGGAGCACGGAAUUCCUGGUGUAGCGGUGAAAUGCGCAGAUAUCAGGAGGAACACCAGCGGCGAAGGCGGUGCUCUGGGCCGGAACUGACGCUGAGGAGCGAAAGCGUGGGUAGCGAACAGG
This 254-nucleotide ribosomal RNA is filed under the name uncultured bacterium. Its description in RNAcentral is "partial 16S ribosomal RNA". It matches the Rfam family "Bacterial small subunit ribosomal RNA", at positions 524 to 776 of the family's 1533-position model. The record is from RNAcentral.